GACGAACGCUGGCGGCGUGCUUAACACAUGCCAGUCGAACGGAAAGGCCCUGCUUUUGUGGGGUGCUCGAGUGGCGAACGGGUGAGUAACACGUGAGUAACCUGCCCUUGACUUUGGGAUAACUUCAGGAAACUGGGGCUAAUACCGGAUAGGAGCUCCUGCUGCAUGGUGGGGGUUGGAAAGUUUCGGCGGUUGGGGAUGGACUCGCGGCUUAUCAGCUUGUUGGUGGGGUAGUGGCUUACCAAGGCUUUGACGGGUAGCCGGCCUGAGAGGGUGACCGGCCACAUUGGGACUGAGAUACGGCCCAGACUCCUACGGGAGGCAGCAGUGGGGAAUAUUGCACAAUGGGCGGAAGCCUGAUGCAGCAACGCCGCGUGCGGGAUGACGGCCUUCGGGUUGUAAACCGCUUUCGCCUGUGACGAAGCGUGAGUGACGGUAAUGGGUAAAGAAGCACCAGCUAACUACGUG
Molecule: ribosomal RNA, 468 nt
Filed under: uncultured bacterium
Lineage: Bacteria
Description: partial 16S ribosomal RNA
Rfam family: Bacterial small subunit ribosomal RNA
Source: RNAcentral